AUUGAACGCUGGCGGAAUGCUUUACACAUGCAAGUCGAACGGCAGCACGGGGCAACCUGGUGGCGAGUGGCGAACGGUGAGUAAUACAUCGGAACGUGCCCAAUCGUGGGGGAUAACGUAGCGAAAGUUACGCUAAUACCGCAUACGAUCUACGGAUGAAAGCGGGGGAUCGCAAGACCUCGCGCGAAUGGAGCGGCCGAUGUCAGAUUAGGUAGUUGGUGGGGUAAGGGCUCACCAAGCCGACGAUCUGUAGCUGGUCUGAGAGGACGACCAGCCACACUGGGACUGAGACACGGCCCAGACUCCUACGGGAGGCAGCAGUGGGGAAUUUUGGACAAUGGGCGCAAGCCUGAUCCAGCCAUUCCGCGUGCAGGAUGAAGGCCUUC
RNAcentral lists this ribosomal RNA (386 nucleotides) under uncultured bacterium. RNAcentral describes it as "bacterial SSU rRNA". It matches the Rfam family "Bacterial small subunit ribosomal RNA", at positions 30 to 419 of the family's 1533-position model. The record is from RNAcentral.